RNAcentral lists this ribosomal RNA (472 nucleotides) under uncultured bacterium. RNAcentral describes it as "bacterial SSU rRNA". It matches the Rfam family "Bacterial small subunit ribosomal RNA", at positions 29 to 506 of the family's 1533-position model. The record is from RNAcentral.
AUGAACGCUGGCGGUGUGCUUAACACAUGCAAGUCGAGCGAGCAGCCAUUGAGGGUAACCUCGAUGGUGGGCGAGCGGCGAACGGGUGAGUAACACGUGGGCAACCUGCCCCAGACACUGGGAUAACCCCGGGAAACCGGGGCUAAUACCGGAUACUUUCGGCGAUCCGCAUGGUUUGCCGAAGAAAGCUCCGACGGUCUGGGAUGGGCCCGCGGCCUAUCAGCUUGUUGGUGGGGUAACGGCCUACCAAGGCAUCGACGGGUAGCUGGCGUGAGAGCGUGACCAGCCACACUGGGACUGAGACACGGCCCAGACUCCUACGGGAGGCAGCAGUGGGGAAUAUUGCGCAAUGGGCGAAAGCCUGACGCAGCGACACCGCGUGGGGGAUGAAGGCCUUCGGGUUGUAAACCUCUUUCGGCAGGGACGAAGCGAAAGUGACGGUACCUGCAGAAGAAGCUCCGGCUAACUACGU